CGACAACAAACGAUUUCAGAUGCUCUCACGAGCUUAAUAGGGAACCCUGUGUAAUUCAGGGACGGGCCCGCCGCUGUAACCGAGGACGAAAGCCGCUUGAUGUCACUGCCGAAAUUCGGUGGGAAGACGUGGCCGGUAGGAUGAUCCGGAAGUCAGAAGACCUGUCUGAAAUUUGGUAAUGCG
RNAcentral lists this non-coding RNA (183 nucleotides) under Desulfuromonas acetoxidans. Lineage: Bacteria; Pseudomonadati; Thermodesulfobacteriota; Desulfuromonadia; Desulfuromonadales; Desulfuromonadaceae. The record is from RNAcentral. RNAcentral also lists the same sequence under 1 other name.